GAUGAAGAACGCAGCGAAAUGCGAUACGUAAUGUGAAUUGCAAAUUCAGUGAAUCAUCGAGUCUUUGAACGCAGAUUGCGCCCCCUGGUAUUCCGGGGGGCAUGCCUGUCCGAGCGUCAUUGCUGCCCUCAAGCACGGCUUGUGUGUUGGGCCCCGUCCUCCGAUCCCGGGGGACGGGCCCGAAAGGCAGCGGCGGCACCGCGUCCGGUCCUCGAGCGUAUGGGGCUUUGUCACCCGCUCUGUAGGCCCGGCCGGCGCUUGCCGAUCAACCCAAAUUUUUAUCCAGGUUGACCUCGGAUCAGGUAGGGAUACCCGCUGAACUUAAGCAUAUCAAUAAGCGGAGGA
Molecule: unclassified non-coding RNA, 345 nt
Filed under: soil metagenome
Description: partial contains 5.8S ribosomal RNA, internal transcribed spacer 2, and large subunit ribosomal RNA
Rfam family: 5.8S ribosomal RNA (bases 1-119)
Source: RNAcentral